CCGCGCGCGCCUAGCAAGGAAGCCUGCGCCCGGAGACAAUCCCCGGGAGCGCCGCCGGCCGGUGCCCCGCACGCCCCGGGCCAUGCAGCGGCGGCCGCAGCGGAGCUCGGAGCGGCGGUAGCGCCCCCUGGGAAGCGGCCUGUGAUGCCCCGGCCGCUGUGAACGGUGCUGCCCGCGCCAACACUUCCCGGAGCCCCGGCCACGCGGAGCCUCGGACACGCUCGACUCUGCGCGCCCGCAGCUGGCACCGAGGAAUCCCGGAGAGCGGCGAGCGCGGGCAAGGCCUCCCCGCACGGGCGG
Molecule: non-coding RNA, 300 nt
Filed under: Oryctolagus cuniculus (rabbit)
Lineage: Eukaryota; Metazoa; Chordata; Mammalia; Lagomorpha; Leporidae
Description: TrkB IRES
Rfam family: TrkB IRES
About the family: This family represents the TrkB internal ribosome entry site (IRES) which is present in the 5' leader sequence of the mRNA. TrkB is a neurotrophin receptor which is essential for the development and maintenance of the nervous system.
Source: Rfam by way of RNAcentral